AUAAAACAUCUAUGGGUGACGUUUUUGGAUAGAGAAGUUCCCAAUACACUUGUUGUUAUUUUAUUUUUGUCUUCAUUUUUUGUAAUUAUUUGUUAGUAUUUUAUUGUAUUUUUUAAAUAUUUUUUUUCAAUACACGUGUUUGCCACAGGGGACGUCCAAUAACUACACCGGUGUUUUACUGAUAAGGCAAGUCGGUAGGAUAUAGGCUGUAAUGGACUACCAGGGGUAUUAGAGGAAUAAUAUAAUCAAUUAUACAAAUUCAGGAGCUAAUCAGAGAACAGUGGACAGUUGGAAAAUAAUUAAUGGCACGGACCCGGUGAUGCCAAAGCUAACCCACCUGACAACGCAAACACAGCAGGAUCAAACUCAGCCUCGACAUUCAGAUGGGUUCGCCAUGAUAUCACCCAUUGAAUCGCGACGGAGUAAACUACACAUGAUGGUUCAGAAAGAAGAGGAGGACAUACAGAGAAGCUAGGUGGUGCUGUGAGGCCAGGGAGAGGCACCUGGUGGAGUUAAGCCAAGCUAAACUGCAGAAACAGAGUCCAGGAGUACAGGGAGGGGAGGAGAGAGGAGGAGAACACAGCAAGACAGCUGAAGAAGGGGGAACAGAGGAUGAAGUUUCUCGCUCUCUCGCUCUCAUGUUCUUCCCCUCAGAGUGACAUCUUGGGAGAGAAAGAGAGAGAGAUCAGGAGGAGAAGAGGAGCGAAUUGAGAAGGGGGAUAUCAGCCUUAUUGGACCGACUGCAGGGUGGGGGCAAAGGGGUUGCAUAGGGGCAGAUGGAGGUACAGCUCCCCCUUGUGGCCGUGGAAGAAGACAGCAUUGUCUGAUAGACCCAUAGCCAGACCUCCAGACCAGAGGACACCUUCACAUUCCCUGACCCAGCACACAACACCUCAGAGUGGCGAGAGGAGACCGUCAUCUGUCCUUCCAAGCUGAACCACAUGACCCAGCAGAGAGCAUCUUUGGAGUGUCCUGUCUGACUGAGAUGAACGGGCUUGGUCUGGGAUGAGACUGUCAUCCUAAUGUCUCGUCUGUGUGUGUGCCUGUGUGGGAUCAGAUGAGGCUGUGGCGUUUAGAAAAUAAAGCAGGACUCUGUGUGUCUGUCAUCGUUUCUCAUUACAAGGAACAUUCACUCCAAAAUCUAACUUUUCAAAAGGUUUCAUAACUCAUAAAGGAGUCUAAAGUCGAGUCAAUUUCCACGCCAUCUGUUGCGCAGAUCCUGCUGUAUGCAGAAUAAAUAUCCAGCUUUUAUUUCGGGUUUGAUAGGCCAGGGUAUGGUAUGUCUAUCUCCUAAACCCCGUUGUUCAGAGACCUAAAGGAUCACACUGUGUGUGGCAUAACACUCCACGAGAGGAGUUGUCUUGCUUUCCCAGGCUUGUCAAGAGACCGCAACAAAGGCUUUCUUUGUUAACUAAUAUGAAAGGAAAAAUCAUAAAUAUGGAUGAUUGUUAAAAGUAGUCAUUACAUGAACAACUGCCUUAUAAACACUGAACUGUCUGAACUGAACUGUCCUGUAGAUCCAGACUUUGAGUGGGUUAUGCUGAAGCUUCAGAAUAGCUUCUUGUUCUGUGAGAGAUCUUUUCUGGAGGACAUCAUCAUUCAGUGUAACGGAGACUAUCAACAGGCAUGUGUGCUAGUCUAAUGACAACCCUUGUCAUUCAGUGUUUCCAACAUAUACAUGGGUAACUUCAAGGGUACCUACUCUGUCAUUAAGUAUAACAGAGAUAAUCAAUUUGACUGCUCAUUUUUUUUACGACACUUUCUUUUGUGUGAUAAGGAAAAAUCAGCUUUUUAGCCAUUAUUAGUGUAAACUGUUAGUACUCUAUCUUUGUCAUAUCUUAGUAAUAAUAAUAUUGUGAAAUAAUAAUAAUAAUAAUAAUAUUGUGAUACUAGAUAAUUUCUUCGCACAACAAUGACUCAUAUUUUCCAUUGUCUCUGACAGUGAUUUAGGAUGAUGUGCGUUUUACAAAAUAACUGUAGGUCACUGGGAUGAGUCAGCAUCUCUAUAUGCAUUUGGCUUUUAACAAGUUCAAUGUGUUGUAAUGGAAACAUCUGUCCAGGAAGAGAUGCUGUUUUCUGUUUGUCUGUAUAAAGACUAAUCCCAAUGAUAUGUUGACUAUCCAUUACAUGCUUCCUGACUGGAAGAAUGGACAUCAAUGGAUUGUUUCCUUUAAUGUCUCCUGUUAGAUCAUGUAUUAGGUCUUUAUGAUCAGUGUGAUCUCUUGUUUUUACUGUUUCCUUUAAUGUCUCCUGUUAGAUCAUGUAUUAGGUCUUUAUGAUCAGUGUGAUCUCUUGUUUUUACUGUUUCCUUGUUUGAAUCAGUAUUGUAAUGUUUGGGUCAGCUAUCCAGGGCUGUGUUUAAUAAAUGGGUGUUAAA
This is a long non-coding RNA of Oncorhynchus tshawytscha (Chinook salmon), 2377 nucleotides long. RefSeq lists it as uncharacterized. The record is from RefSeq and is a predicted model, not a curated record. The transcript has 8 exons. NCBI's taxonomy places the organism in Eukaryota, Metazoa, Chordata, Actinopteri, Salmoniformes, Salmonidae.